GACGAAGGGGGCUAGCGUUGUUCGGAAUUACUGGGCGUAAAGGGCGCGUAGGCGGCGCUGUAAGUGAGAUGUGAAAGACCUGGGCUUAACCUGGGAAGUGCAUUUCAGACUGCAGUGCUAGAGUGCGAGAGAGGAAAGUGGAAUGACGAGUGUAGAGGUGAAAUUCGUAGAUAUUCGUUGGAACACCGGUGGCGAAGGCGACUUUCUGGCUCGCAACUGACGCUAAGGCGCGAAAGCGUGGGGAGCAGACAG
This 252-nucleotide ribosomal RNA is filed under the name uncultured bacterium. RNAcentral describes it as "partial 16S ribosomal RNA". It matches the Rfam family "Bacterial small subunit ribosomal RNA", at positions 524 to 775 of the family's 1533-position model. The record is from RNAcentral.